This 257-nucleotide ribosomal RNA is filed under the name uncultured bacterium. Its description in RNAcentral is "partial 16S ribosomal RNA". It matches the Rfam family "Bacterial small subunit ribosomal RNA", at positions 334 to 587 of the family's 1533-position model. The record is from RNAcentral.
AUGCCCUACGGGGGGCAGCAGUGAGGAAUAUUGGUCAAUGGCCGAGAGGCUGAACCAGCCAAGUCGCGUGAGGGACGACGGCCCUACGGGUUGUAAACCUCUUUUGUCGGGGAGCAAGACCCGCCUCGUGCAGGCGGAGCGAGAGUACCCGAAGAAAAAGCAUCGGCUAACUCCGUGCCAGCAGCCGCGGUAAUACGUAGGUGGCAAGCGUUAUCCGGAUUUACUGGGUGUAAAGGGCGUGUAGGCGGGGACGCAAG